CAAUGAGGCAACACUGCCCUGAAACUACUUUAAAAAAUAGAGACAAGAGGCCAGCACGAGGGUUCAGCAUAGCAGGAUAGGCAUAGAAAAGCAAGGGGAAAGCAACAAAAUGGAGUUCACAAACAGACAUUAAGGAAACCUGGGAGGCCAUGGAGGGCAGAUCAUGGAGUUGUUUCUUGGAACCAACAUCAGACAUGAAGGAGAAACCACAUCCAGCAACAGGAGACUUACAAAAGAAGAUGAAAGAAGACAAAAUAGCAGCAGUAGACCCGCCUAGCUUAUGACUCAAUUUGUUUAUAAAAUGAACAAAUAUUUGUAGUCAUUGACCAUAGACUGUAUACACAAGAUACAACAAUGACAGCACCUAUUGACUUGUGGGAUAGCAUUUUUUUAAAAAAGGCCUGAAUCAGAGAGCAUCUCAGGAUCAAUGGAUACUCUGACUGUAAGCCAGCAGAUGAGGACACUGUACUGUACUUGAAGUGUCACAAGGAUGCUUAAUAAAGUUAGUAAACGGGAUAUCCUAUCUUAUGGCAAAAAAAGAAAAGCUGGACAUCAAUGAAACAACAAAUUGUAAAGACAGUCGAUUGAUCCAGAGACCUGUUGUGAUCCAGGGCCUUCUGCGUGGUCAAACUGCAAGGACUACAGCACCGACAGGUUGUUCAGUCAGUGAGAGAUGUCCAAACUGUUACAGUAUAAAACAUGUGAACACCAAUCUUACUACAUUCAAAAGUGUUAAAAAACGACUAUAUCAGAAAAUCGAGACCAUUCAUAUGCCAUAACUUGUUUUGAUCAGCCAUUUAUCCGACACAAUUUUCUCCUGUGAAUUAUAAUGAACUAUUCACUGUAUCAGUGUUUAUCUUACUCUAAAUUAUCAGUAUCUAUAUCCGUAUUUUGAUUUGGGGUCAUUGUUCAUAAAAGUAAUGCAUUAUAUAUUACUUGUUGCUGUUCCUACAAGUAAUGUAGUAUGUUAAUUUCUCGCUGGAGAAAGUAAUUUGUUAUACUACUUGCUGAGUUACAGUUGUGUUACUUCACAAAAUGAACUGAAUUGCACUGUCACAUAAUUACAAGUUAACGCCAUAAAAACUGGGCUACAGUUCCACAUGCAAGCAGAAAUCCACAAAUCACAAAAUUAUUUUAGUGUUUACACAAAUACAACGACACAAACCAAAGUUGAAAACCAGCUCAGAGAGACAUCAAAGCGAUUGUCACAGUGAUUCUACUAAAAACAAGGUAAAGGUAUAAAUCGAGAGUACAGUGAGGCUUACCACUGACUUUGUUACUGCUGAUGUUGUGUGGGUUGGGAUCGGCAUACACUCAGCUUCAACAACACUCUGGGUUUUUCGCUAUAUUUUGCUAUAGUUUUGUCUAAUCUAAUCUACUCUAAUAUUUGUGUUAGCAUGCUAACACUAAGCUAACGCAAAGCUAGUCAAAGUAUUGUUAACACAUAGCUG
This is a long non-coding RNA of Astatotilapia calliptera (eastern happy), 1451 nucleotides long. Lineage: Eukaryota; Metazoa; Chordata; Actinopteri; Cichliformes; Cichlidae. The record is from Ensembl.